Molecule: ribosomal RNA, 491 nt
Filed under: uncultured bacterium
Lineage: Bacteria
Description: bacterial SSU rRNA
Rfam family: Bacterial small subunit ribosomal RNA
Source: RNAcentral
GGACGAACGCUGGCGGCGCGCCUAACACAUAGCAAGUCGAACGGAGAGCGUAGUUUGAAUCUCGGAAGGAAAGAUACGUUCUAGUGGCGGACGGGUGAGUAACACGUGAGCAACCUGCCUUGCAGAGAGGGAUAACGAUUGGAAACGAUCGCUAAUACCACAUAACAUACAGAUAUCGCAUGAUGACUGUAUCAAAGAUUUAUCGCUGCAAGAUGGGCUCGCGUCUGAUUAGAUAGUUGGUGAGGUAAACGGCUCACCCAAGUCGACGAUCAGUAGCCGGACUGAGAGGUUGAACGGCCACAUUGGGACUGAGACACGGCCCAGACUCCUACGGGAGGCAGCAGUGGGGGAUAUUGCACAAUGGGGGAAACCCUGAAUGCAGCGACGCCGCGUGAGGGAAGAAGGUUUUCGGAUUGUAAACCUCUGUCUUUGGGGACGAUAAUGACGGUACCCAAGGAGGAAGCUCCGGCUAACUACGUGCCAGCAGCUGC